This 71-nucleotide transfer RNA is filed under the name Rhipicephalus microplus (southern cattle tick). RNAcentral's name for it is "tRNA-Trp". It matches the Rfam family "tRNA". Rfam says of the family: Transfer RNA (tRNA) molecules are approximately 80 nucleotides in length. Their secondary structure includes four short double-helical elements and three loops (D, anti-codon, and T loops). Lineage: Eukaryota; Metazoa; Arthropoda; Arachnida; Ixodida; Ixodidae. The record is from RNAcentral.
GCGGCUAGCUCAGUCGGUAGAGCAUGAGACUCCAAAUCUCAGGGUCGUGGGUUCAGGCCCCACGUUGGCCG